UUUUUUUGGAUUUUACCAGAAAUUGGAAGGAAAACGUUAUCCAAGAACGUUACCGAGGUUUAAUACUGGUAGCAAACUUUGGACUCCUUCAUUUGGUUUUCUAAAGCUAUCGUGGUAAAUCGCGAGUGUAAAAGUUCAAUUUAGUAACUUGGUGAAAGUUUUUUUUUUAAAGUGAAUUGACGUUUUUUUUUAUCCACAUUGGUUUUUAUUUUUUUUGUGUUGCUUACGAACAAGACACUUGUGCCUCCUCUUAAAAAUUCCUACCAUUUUUGGACCAUUGGGUCCCAUAGAAGAGCUUUGGAGGCUUUCCUCAGGGCUGCCUAAGCCCACAGGAUUUUUUGCCUUUUUCUUGCCACCUUUAUGAGGUUUCUACAUAUUGUAUAUUCACGGCACUGUCGAGCACCGCAGAAAAGAAAACCACCGAUUGAAACCUGUCCUCGGCUCAGUUCCCUUUUUCUUGCUUCUCAGCAAAAUUUUAUUGUGGUUUGCUUACACUGGAAACACUGGAGAAUUCAGUCUUCUAUUGUCGCUGCAUCCUACAUAUCGUCUCUAAACACAGGGGUUCGUUGCCCGACGAAGAAAUUAGACCGGAUAAUAUGUGAGAUUCGAUGAAAGUGUGUAGUUUUAUGGCCUGGAAGCCCGAGAAUCAAUGAAAAGUGGUAUAGUUUCGACAUAGAAAGCCAGCC
Long non-coding RNA from Stomoxys calcitrans (stable fly), 686 nucleotides. RefSeq lists it as uncharacterized. Lineage: Eukaryota; Metazoa; Arthropoda; Insecta; Diptera; Muscidae. The transcript has 3 exons. The record is from RefSeq and is a predicted model, not a curated record.